UACGAAGGGAGCUAGCGUUGUUCGGAAUCACUGGGCGUAAAGCGCACGUAGGCGGAUGUGUCAGUCAGGGGUGAAAUCCCGGAGCUCAACUUCGGAACUGCCUUUGAUACAGCACGUCUUGAGUCCGGAAGAGGUGGGUGGAAUUCCUAGUGUAGAGGUGAAAUUCGUAGAUAUUAGGAAGAACACCGGUGGCGAAGGCGGCCCACUGGUCCGGUACCUGACGCUGAGACGCCGAAAGCG
RNAcentral lists this ribosomal RNA (240 nucleotides) under uncultured bacterium. Its description in RNAcentral is "partial 16S ribosomal RNA". It matches the Rfam family "Bacterial small subunit ribosomal RNA", at positions 524 to 761 of the family's 1533-position model. The record is from RNAcentral.